UACGUAGGGUGCGAGCGUUGUCCGGAAUUAUUGGGCGUAAAGAGCUUGUAGGCGGUUUGUCGCGUCUGCUGUGAAAUUUCGGGGCUCAACCCCGAACUUGCAGUGGGUACGGGCAGACUAGAGUGUGGUAGGGGAGACUGGAAUUCCUGGUGUAGCGGUGAAAUGCGCAGAUAUCAGGAAGAACACCCGUGGCGAAGGCGGCUCUCUGGGACGGUACUGACGCUGAGACGCGAAAGCGUGGGGAGCGAACAGG
RNAcentral lists this ribosomal RNA (253 nucleotides) under uncultured bacterium. RNAcentral describes it as "partial 16S ribosomal RNA". It matches the Rfam family "Bacterial small subunit ribosomal RNA", at positions 524 to 776 of the family's 1533-position model. The record is from RNAcentral.